AGGGUGUAAACGCUGCAGACUUGGUGUUGGAAGUCCUUUGGGGGCAUUCAGUGCCGGAGAGAAGUUGUUAAGUCUGCUACUUGGGGAGUACGUCCGCAAGGAUGAAACUUAAAGGAAUUGGCGGGGGGAGGCACCGCAACGGGAGGAGCGUGCGGUUUAAUUGGAUUCAACACCGUAAAACUCACCAGGGAAGACUGUUACAUGAAGGCCGAGAUGAAGACUCUGCUAGAUUUUUCAGAGAGGAGGUGCAUGGCGUCAGUGACU
RNAcentral lists this ribosomal RNA (264 nucleotides) under uncultured archaeon. RNAcentral describes it as "partial 16S ribosomal RNA". It matches the Rfam family "Archaeal small subunit ribosomal RNA", at positions 748 to 1008 of the family's 1478-position model. The record is from RNAcentral.